This 442-nucleotide ribosomal RNA is filed under the name uncultured bacterium. Its description in RNAcentral is "partial 16S ribosomal RNA". It matches the Rfam family "Bacterial small subunit ribosomal RNA", at positions 338 to 795 of the family's 1533-position model. The record is from RNAcentral.
CCUACGGGUGGCAGCAGUGGGGAAUAUUGGGCAAUGGGCGCAAGCCUGACCCAGCAACGCCGCGUGAAGGAAGAAGGCUUUCGGGUUGUAAACUUCUUUUGUCAGGGAAGAGUAGAAGACGGUACCUGACGAAUAAUCCACGGCUUACUACCUGCCAGCAGCCGCGGUAAUACGUAGGUGGCAAGCGUUGUCCGGAUUUACUGGGUGUAAAGGGCGUGUAGCCGGGUUGACAAGUCAGAUGUGAAAUCCUGCGGCUUAACCGGAGAACUGCAUUUGAAACUGUUGAUCUUGAGUACUGGAGAGGCAGAUGGAAUUCCUAGUGUAGCGGUGAAAUGCGUAGAUAUUAGGAGGAACACCAGUGGCGAAGGCGGUCUGCUGGACAGCAACUGACGGUGAGGCGCGAAAGCGUGGGGAGCAAACAGGAUUAGAUACCCCAGUAGUC